Zingiber officinale is the source of this 871-nucleotide long non-coding RNA. RefSeq lists it as uncharacterized. The transcript has 4 exons. The record is from RefSeq and is a predicted model, not a curated record. NCBI's taxonomy places the organism in Eukaryota, Viridiplantae, Streptophyta, Magnoliopsida, Zingiberales, Zingiberaceae.
CAACAACAUGUCAUUACGCCCCCUCGUAACCUCCUUGUCCCACCCCCAUCGAAUCCUCCCGAUUCCGAUCUCCGAUCCCCAUCCUACGAUCUCAUCGAUCUCCGUCCUUCACCCCGCUCUGUCGUUGAUCUCCACGCUGCGGUGGAUGGCGAACACGAACGCAGGCAGAUCUGCGAGGAUUUGUUGCCAAGGAGAGUGAGACUGUGGGGGUGAUCCAGACGGCAUCUGAUUCAGGCACCGCGAUAGCAUCUCAUUCGAUCAGCUGCAGAAGUUCUGGAGUGAGCUAUCCCUUCAUGCUCGAAAGGAGUUCAUGAGGCUCGAUAAAGACUUUAUUUGAACAAGCUAGGAGGAGCCUCUACUGUUCCAGAUGCAAUGGGUUGCUUCUGGAAGUCUUCUCACAAAUUGUAAACUAUGGGAAGUCAAUGCAACAAGAAGGUUCUGGUUUUCAACUUUCAGAUAAAGCUGGGAAUUGCCAAUCCCAGGACCGUAGUCACAUAGAUGAGGUACAGGAUCCAUCACUAUAUCCUUGGGGUGGUCUGACAACAACUAAGCAUGGUAUUCUCACUGUUCUUGACUGCUUUGUCAGGGCAAGGUCACUGAAGCCACUGCAAAAUGUGUUUGAUAGUGCUUGAGUUGGGCAACAUGAACACGGAGGUGGAGGCAGGGGUUGGAUUAGCCAAGGGAUUGCUAAUUACGGUAAAGGACACGGAUUAAGAGAGACCUGUGUGUUGCAUACUGCUCGACAUUCUUGUGAUACACUUGUGGACUUCUGGUCCGCUUUAGGUGAGGAAACCAGAUUAUCUCUCUUACAGAUGAAAGAGGAGGAUUUUAUUGAAAGACUUAUAUACAGGUGCAUUCUUUCAAGGGUGAG